Erinaceus europaeus (western European hedgehog) is the source of this 288-nucleotide non-coding RNA. Lineage: Eukaryota; Metazoa; Chordata; Mammalia; Eulipotyphla; Erinaceidae. The record is from Rfam.
GGAUGUGAGGGCGAUCUGGCUGCGACAUCUGUCACCUGACUGAUCGCCAGGGUUGACUGGGCUCAUCUGGCUGGCUAGGCCAGUGUCCCCUUCCUCCUUCACUGCCCCACGUGUGUCUCUCCAGAAGCUGAGCACUCUGUCAAAGAGGAUGACCAUCCCUCAAUAUAGCCAGUUCCCUGCUGGAACCUCCAAAAAAGCUCUCAAGAUCAACUUAACAACAGCUCACAAAACAUUAGAGAGAUGUGAAACAAGUCUUAACUCAUCCUUGUUUUGCUCAUUAAAAUUCUA